ACUUUUAAAGGAAACCAGUCAUCCGGUGGUCUUAGGCACCACAGCUCUUGGUGUAAGUCCAAGUAAAAGUA
RNAcentral lists this transfer RNA (71 nucleotides) under Lepidophyma flavimaculatum (yellow-spotted night lizard). RNAcentral describes it as "tRNA-Leu specifying CUN codons". The record is from RNAcentral. Lineage: Eukaryota; Metazoa; Chordata; Lepidosauria; Squamata; Xantusiidae.